GGAAGAUGGGACGAAACUGCAUUUUCUUGCAUUGAUUGCUUCGAAAACCUUAGUGGUACAAAAGUUAACACUUCAAAAACAUUGACCGGCCAAAAUUGCCAAAGAUGGGAUGAAACUUCUCCACAUGAUCUAUCUUCCGAACUUGUAACUGCAAUGUUUCCAGACCAUACUAUCUCAGCCGCAGAUAAUUACUGCCGCUCUCCAGUAACUGGAAAUGAACUCGAACGGCCGUAUUUUUGGUGUAUGACAGGAGAUCCGAAAAUGAGCUUCGAUGUUUGUUCCGUUCCAAUGUGUUACACUGAAGAUCCAAAUAAUCAUUACCAACAACUACCCGACACGACUUAUUCACACACUAAUCAUUUUGCAGACGUACCAA
Molecule: long non-coding RNA, 376 nt
Organism: Mytilus californianus (California mussel)
Lineage: Eukaryota; Metazoa; Mollusca; Bivalvia; Mytilida; Mytilidae
Exons: 3
Source: RefSeq, a predicted model, not a curated record